CUGCUAGCGCCGUGUUUGAGAAAAUAUGUUUGCUUAACUCAAGUAGGAAAGUUUCUCAUCUUGCAAGGAAGGACAAUGGCAGGAAAAGAAAGAGGGUAGAGGAAGAAGUGGAUGACUACCAUGAUAGUGAGGAUGAUGAAGAAGAAAAUGAGGAGCUGGACCUGGAAAUUGAUGAUGAUGAUGAUAGCCAUGAUGAUGGUGCAAGUCAAUCUGAUAGAGGAUUCGCCAAUGCAAAUUGAAAAGGAUUUAACAAGCCAAGUUGGAAACAAUGUUGAGGUAACAAGUGAUGGUAGUUUGGUGAACCGUAGAUCUGAACGGGUUAGGCAAGCCAAGAAGGUCAAGGAGGUCACCAGCCUUUACAAUUGACAAGUAAGUUCCUUGUGAUGACAUCAAUAAUUUCCCAUUUAUGCACUUUCUUAUAUCCUGUCAUUAACAUGUGGUGUUUGCUUUAGUCCAUAUGAUUUUAUAUGUUGUUUCAAUUGGGGUUGCCAUCUAUUAACUGUUGUUUCUGCCAUCUACUUGAUGUUUUUAUAAUUCACAAUGCGUUAGUCCAUAUGAUUCUAUAUGGUGUUUCAAUUGGGGCUGCCAUCUAUGAGUUAUUGCUGCCAUCUACUUGUAAUGUUUAUAUAAUUCACAAUGCUUUAGUCCAUCUGAAUUUAUAUGUUGUUUUAAUUUGGGCUGUCAUCUAUGAGUUGUUUCUGCCAUCUACUUGUAAUACUUAUAUAAUUCACAUUGUUUCUGCCCAUAUGAUUUUAUAUGUUGUUCCAAUUGCAGUUGCCAUCAUUGAGUUGUUGGUUCUGCCAUCUACUUGUAAUGUUUAUAUAAUUCACAAUGCUUUAAUUGCAAGGUUAAGCGGCAUGGGAGCAAAAGAGCUUUUGGUUUGAUGAAGACUAACGGGUGGAUGAACAGGAAGUCCGAAGUGAAGGUCUCUGUUCGAUUCAAUACUUUUGGUGCAAGACUGAAGAGUUGAAGAACAGGAAGUCUGAAUUGAACUUUUUGUUUGUAUUUUGGGGUCGACAUAAUUGAACUUUGAAUGUCGUGUUAAAUUCAUUGUGGACUGUAAUUCUGAACCUUAUGGGUGUUCGUUUCGACUCUUGGUAGAAUUAUUAAGUCGCAUGUUACUCUUAGUAUCUGAACUAUCAAGUCACAUGUUAAUCUGGACUAUCAUGUUGCUUUUCUAGUGGUUGCUGCUCUCCGAAUUGAUCCACUAUGCUAUUAUCUGAAUGGUUGCAACUGGAGUGUUGAUGUUUAGUCUGAUACGUAGUGAUUUGAUGAAUAGAUUCAGCUGUUUGAUUUUUACAUGCAUAUUUUGCUAAAAGUUCUGAAUACUCAUCUGUUGUUCUGUUGUAUUUCAAAAUUUUAGGCAAAUUUCGCCCAUUUUUCGUUCAUUUUUCGUUCAGUUUUCGUCCCAAAAUUCAAAUUUUGUUUUAUGAUUUUCGUCCGAGAUUUUCCGAAAAAAUCCGAAAAAUCCGAAUUUCGCCCAUUUCGUCAAGG
RNAcentral lists this long non-coding RNA (1494 nucleotides) under Triticum aestivum (bread wheat). Its description in RNAcentral is "long non-coding RNA (TAES_LNC011190)". The record is from RNAcentral. Lineage: Eukaryota; Viridiplantae; Streptophyta; Magnoliopsida; Poales; Poaceae.